This 779-nucleotide small RNA is filed under the name Pongo abelii (Sumatran orangutan). RNAcentral's name for it is "retained intron". Lineage: Eukaryota; Metazoa; Chordata; Mammalia; Primates; Hominidae. The record is from RNAcentral.
GCUGGUGACUGGAAGUGUCCUAAUCCGUGAGUGAAACUUUAAUUUUUUUCUUAGUUCUCUUGCAUGCGUGCCUUUGAUAUUAUGGUAAUGAGGUAUGUGCAUGUUUUCCAAAGAAGUAAAUGUCAGGGCCACACUGUUGGGGUCAGAUUUAGCCAAAAGCUUACCUAGGUAAGGUUGAUGUAAUGGGAAAGGUAAUGGAUUGGGUUCAGUAAUAAUGAUUUUUGUUCCUGACUCUGAGAAGCAAGCCAUUUUGGCUUUAUGAAGCCUCACUUUCCUCAGUGUAUCUCUAAAGUCACAGUAGUUUCUUCCUAGUUCUAGGUCUUGCCUGUUCCCCAUUGCUCCAGACUAAUUGUCUUCCUUCUCCUUAGCACCUGUGAGAAUAUGAACUUCUCUUGGAGGAAUGAAUGCAACCAGUGUAAGGCCCCUAAACCAGAUGGCCCAGGAGGAGGACCAGGUGGCUCUCACAUGGGGGGUAACUACGGGGAUGAUCGUCGUGGUGGCAGAGGAGGCUAUGAUCGAGGCGGCUACCGGGGCCGCGGCGGGGACCGUGGAGGCUUCCGAGGGGGCCGGGGUGGUGGGGACAGAGGUGGCUUUGGCCCUGGCAAGAUGGAUUCCAGGGGUGAGCACAGACAGGAUCGCAGGGAGAGGCCGUAUUAAUUAGCCUGGCUCCCCAGGUUCUGGAACAGCUUUUUGUCCUGUACCCAGUGUUACUCUCGUUAUUUUGUAACCUUCCAAUUCCUGAUCACCCAAGGGUUUUUUUUGUGUCGGGACUAUGUAAU